UACAGAGGUCUCAAGCGUUGUUCGGAUUCAUUGGGCGUAAAGGGUGCGUAGGCGGCGCGUUAAGUCGGGUGUGAAAUCUCGGGGCUUAACUCCGAAACUGCAUUCGAUACUGCCGUGCUUGAGGACUGGAGAGGAGACUGGAAUUUACGGUGUAGCGGUGAAAUGCGUAGAUAUCGUAAGGAAGACCAGUGGCGAAGGCGGGUCUCUGGACAGUUCCUGACGCUGAGGCACGAAGGCCAGGGGAGCAAACGGG
This 253-nucleotide ribosomal RNA is filed under the name uncultured bacterium. RNAcentral's name for it is "partial 16S ribosomal RNA". It matches the Rfam family "Bacterial small subunit ribosomal RNA", at positions 524 to 776 of the family's 1533-position model. The record is from RNAcentral.